RNAcentral lists this long non-coding RNA (242 nucleotides) under Solanum tuberosum (potato). RNAcentral describes it as "long non-coding RNA (STUB_LNC003625)". The record is from RNAcentral. Lineage: Eukaryota; Viridiplantae; Streptophyta; Magnoliopsida; Solanales; Solanaceae.
ACUCGCCCAAUGGAUCAGGCGAUCAGUAGGCCUUCUUUUCUUUGUUCUUUCAGCUGCAUUGUUCCUUUUUGCUCGUUAGUGUACAUGCCUUGUUCCUCAAUCCAAAUAUCUAGAAAUCAAGGAUUUUACAUCAGUUAUUGGCACAAAAUAAGCAUUUGAGGACACUAAAUCUAUCAAAAUAAAUCCCUAAAUGAGUCCAAAUCGUGGACUCAUCAAUCCACUAGCUAAUCAACAUAUGGGGG